CUGAAAACAGAGCCAUGAGGAGGUGCGGAAGUCUAGUUGUCUCUCAGAGCACUUGAAUUACAAUAUGCUGAAAGGUUAUUAUGGAAUUUUUGCCCAAUGAUGCCAAAAACGUUCUGCCGACUGAAGCUUUAAGAGGACAUCUUUAGCCCUCACAAAACUU
This is a long non-coding RNA of Sebastes umbrosus (honeycomb rockfish), 160 nucleotides long. RefSeq lists it as uncharacterized. The transcript is spliced from 4 exons. NCBI's taxonomy places the organism in Eukaryota, Metazoa, Chordata, Actinopteri, Perciformes, Sebastidae. The record is from RefSeq and is a predicted model, not a curated record.